AACAAUACAAGGCAGUUAAAAUGCUUUGUAAUUGGAAUGAUAGAAAUUUAAACCCUUUUUAAAGUAUCAAUUGGAGGGCAAGUCUGGUGCCAGCAGCCGCGGUAAUUCCAGCUCCAAUAGCGUAUAUUAAAAUUGUUGCAGUUAAAAAGCUCGUAGUUGAAGUUCUGCUGAAAGUAACCGGUCUGCUUUUAAUAAAAGUGGUAUCUUGGUAUGUAUUUAGCAAUGAUGUCCUUUGAAGUGUUUUUUACUUUAUUGUAAUAAAGCAUAUUCAGGACUUUUACUUUGAGAAAAUUAGAGUGUUUCUAGCAGGCUAACGCUUUGAAUACUGCAGCAUGGAAUAAUAAGAUAGGAUUUUAGUUCUACAUUAUUGGUUUUAAGAGCUAAAUUAAUGAUUGAUAGGGACAGUUGGGGGCAUUUGUAUUUAACUGUCAGAGGUGAAAUUCUUAGAUUUGUUAAAGACAAACUACUGCGAAAGCAUUUGCCAAAGAUGUUUUCAUUAAUCAAGAACGAAAGUUAGGGGAUCGAAGACGAUCAGAUACCGUCGUAGUCUUAACUAUAAACUAUGCCGACUAGAGAUUGGAGGUCGUCUUUAUAAAC
This 597-nucleotide ribosomal RNA is filed under the name Hepatozoon canis. RNAcentral's name for it is "SSU rRNA". It matches the Rfam family "Eukaryotic small subunit ribosomal RNA", at positions 477 to 1075 of the family's 1831-position model. The record is from RNAcentral. Lineage: Eukaryota; Apicomplexa; Hepatozoidae.